GGCGGCGUGCUUAACACAUGCAAGUCGAGCGGAAAGGCCCCUUCGGGGGUACUCGAGCGGCGAACGGGUGAGUAACACGUGAGCAACCUGCCCCUGACUCUGGGAUAAGCCCGGGAAACUGGGUCUAAUACCGGAUAUAACCACUUGGUCUCAUGGCCGGGUGGUGGAAAGUUUUUUCGGUUGGGGAUGGGCUCGCGGCCUAUCAGCUUGUUGGUGGGGUGAUGGCCUACCAAGGCGACGACGGGUAACCGGCCUGAGAGGGCGACCGGUCACACUGGGACUGAGACACGGCCCAGACUCCUACGGGAGGCAGCAGUGGGGAAUAUUGCGCAAUGGGCGGAAGCCUGACGCAGCGACGCCGCGUGAGGGAUGACGGCCUUCGGGUUGUAAACCUCUUUCAGCAGGGACGAAGCUAACGUGACGGUACCUGCAGAAGAAGCGCCGGCUAACUACGUGCCAGCAGCCGCGGUAAUACGUAGGGCGCAAGCGUUGUCCGGAAUUAUUGGGCGUAAAGAGCUCGUAGGCGGUUUGUCGCGUCUGUCGUGAAAGCCCACGGCUUAACCGUGGGUCUGCGGUGGAUACGGGCAGACUAGAGGCAGGUAGGGGAGAAUGGAAUUCCCGGUGUAGCGGUGAAAUGCGCAGAUAUCGGAAGGAACACCGGUGGCGAAGGCGGUUCUCUGGGCCUGUACUGACGCUGAGGAGCGAAAGCGUGGGGAGCGAACAGGAUUAGAUACCCUGGUAGUCCACGCCGUAAACGUUGGGCGCUAGGUGUGGGGUUCUUCCACGGAUUCCGCGCCGUAGCUAACGCAUUAAGCGCCCCGCCUGGGGAGUACGGCCGC
RNAcentral lists this ribosomal RNA (839 nucleotides) under Actinomadura sp. IM-6830. Its description in RNAcentral is "bacterial SSU rRNA". It matches the Rfam family "Bacterial small subunit ribosomal RNA", at positions 38 to 889 of the family's 1533-position model. Lineage: Bacteria; Bacillati; Actinomycetota; Actinomycetes; Streptosporangiales; Thermomonosporaceae. The record is from RNAcentral.